Molecule: long non-coding RNA, 5965 nt
Organism: Felis catus (domestic cat)
Lineage: Eukaryota; Metazoa; Chordata; Mammalia; Carnivora; Felidae
Exons: 3
Source: RefSeq, a predicted model, not a curated record
AAAAAACAAAAGUGUGGAAAACAGAGGCAGUCCCAGCCAAACCCUAGGGCUCUUGGGGAGCCUCUCGUCUUCCUUUAAAAGCUUGUUUUAAGUUUGGAGUCUCCCCUUCACCCAUAAAUUAGAGUUGAGUGUAUCUUCCUAGGUUACGUGUCACCCUGUCACAUGCGAAUGACAAGUUCUCAGAAUCAGACAAGCGUGUUGAGCAAGUGUGAGGAAGAAACUUUGCCCGUUGUGAACUUUGGAUGAAGAAACCCUAGCGUUUCUGUGGCUGCUGAGGGAAAGGGAACCUGGCUUUGGCCGAAGCGGGACGCAGGAGCCCCGUUCAAGGUAGGCCGAUUUCACAGACGGCUUUCCAGACAGGGCCCAGGAACCUGAGGAGUCUUGCUAAGUGGGUCUCUCAGCUGAGUACGCGUUGAUGAGAUUCCACGCUCAGAGAGUAUCCUAUGAAGCCUGAGAGAAAUAAACACCACACAGAAGGUUCCCAAGGUGCAGGAAAUGAAUGUUCAGAAGCGCAGACCUGACUAGAGACAGACCCCCAGAGACUGCAUAAUGAGAGAGUUGGAGACAGGACGUCACGAGAGAAAUUGGGGGGCUUUAGUUGCAUCAGGGUGGAAAGUUCUGGUCACCCUGUCUGGCCUACCGUCAGCGUCUCCAAAGAGCUCCAUUGGAUCAUGGCUUCACAGAGAAAGAGGACAUGUGUACAGCUGUUUCACAUUCAUGUUCUACCUCCGGUGAGUCGUUUAAAAGUUUGGAUACCUGGCUCUUUUUUUUUUUUUUUUUUUUUCCUGUUUAUGGAGAGCAGUUAAAUCCUCAUCACCAGGCAAGUGUCUUUCAAAAGGAUUUCUCACAGCAGGUAACUGGGAGGUAGUGAGGGAAGAUGUUGCGUUUUGGAGUCAAACAGACUUGGGACCAUCAUGUGGAAGCGAGCUGUUGCCUAUUUUAAGCACUUCAUUUUCUGGAUUGGAAAAAACUUCAGGGUUUUUGCUUUAAAAACAUUCAAAGUGGGGUAGCAAAAUAUUGACCCAAAAGGCCAGAAGAAGAGACCUUAUUUAGGACUUACUCGGAAUUACAGUUUUACUCUUCUUGGAGGAAAGUGACCCAAAACAUUUUUACUGGAGGUGACAAAAUUUCCUGAGUAAGAAAUGUACUGACUUCUAGAUGAUGUUUAUUCCCGAGUAAGAAAUGCACUAACUUCUAGAUGUUUAUUCCCUACCAGGUUUGCACAUCAUAAAAUCUGACCUGGGCCACUUGGUGAAGGGUGGCUCUUGGGGAAGAGGAAUUCAUUCGUUCCAUCCUCAAGAGGAUAUUUGUUAUCUAGAACGAACACUAAUGCAAAGUGUGUCACCUCAGAGAUCUGAUCUAGGUUUGGCUUCUAUUUCGCUCGUUUAUAACGUAUCAGAACUAGGUGGCUCAGCACUAUGAUUGGGAAGUUUGGAAACAUUUUUUUCUUUUUGGGAACUGAUGGAUUUGAAAGUCAGGACUUGGGCGUUGGUUGGAGUUAGCUCAGGGUUUCUAGAAUUCUGUUUCCUGGCUUUCAUCAACAAGUUGUGCCUUGAGUCAUCUUGUCACUGGGGGGGACUGGUUGCACCAAUGUCAAAAGAUGUUAGAAGGAGUGAGUGUCACAUCCUGGGAUGAAGUCAUUUGGGCUGGUGACCUUCUCAGAAGGGUCAGUAGGAAUGAAACAGUGGGAAAGAAAGUCACGUCAAGGAUGUCUUGAGCAAGGGAGUGGAGUCGAGUCAGUAAACACCAAUGGAAAGCAUAGGCUGUAAGGGUGCAAGCCACCUUCUCCAUUGCCCUGGGCUUGCUGCUCUUGUGGGUGAACUUCGGCAUCAAUCAAGCAACUAACUGACAUUGAACAAGUUUCCGAAGGUACCCAGCGGGAACCCUGUCAAGACCCACAUCCGGCAGUUAAUUUCCUACCAACCUUAAUUACAAGUGUUAGUUAGUAUAAAAUGUAUGGAAAAGAGACAUAAGACAUGCUUUGGGGUCUACAGCUGUCUUAUUUCUAUUUUAGAGAAUAAUUACAUGAGUGCUCACCAUCUAAAAUGGACUUUGGAAGGUUCUGUACCAAAGCCCAGGAUUGAGCUUUCUGCUUUCUGUGAGGGAAAGCUUGGAGACUUGUGUUCUAAGUAGUUCUUCCUUUUAACUGAGCUCAGAGACAGUGGCUCACAGGGCAAUGGCCGAGCAUUAAAUCUAGUCUCUUCUAAAAACCAUUUAAAGCGGUAGUAACGGGACAUACGAGGGGCCACAGUGAGGCCCGUCCCGGUUUUGAGGGGACAUAGGAACUGGUGAUCUAUGGAGGAGAAAAAUAGGGCACUGAAAGCAAACAAGACUCCAGACUCCUUCCUCAUAUUCCUGGCUGUGUCUGUCAUAGAUCUGCUGGCACGUUUUGUUUUGGGGACAAAGGACAGCACUGUUUAAUCCUUCUGUCCAUGCCAAACUCCAAAGGGGAUAAUUACAUUCUGCCUCCUGAAAUUCCCUUUGCAAUUUCAUCUGGGUGAAGCACUCUCAAUUGCCUGGGGUGUUGCUGACCCUGGGAAACAGCCGCCAUGUUUUAUCCCCAGCUAGGUAUUUCAGUCAUGGCCAAGGUGAAUAGUGCACAGUUUGAUUUUGGCUCCAGUGUAUAAAUUAGACCGGGUUCUUUUGCAGUAAAAUGCACUGAGCAGGGUGGCCAAUGUCAGCUCACUGGAGCAUUAUGUGUCUGUCCCCUGUGCAAAACUGCUUUAAUUGUGCUUAAAGAGUACAGUCGAUUGGCUAAUCUUGUUUUUAAGAAAAUAAAUUAUUCCGGAGCAUUUUUUUUUUUUUUUGACUGGUAAAUGCAGUGCCAGAUAAUGUUUUUGUGUUCAGGUGAAAAAUCCAGUUCGGUUAUGUUAUUUGGGCCCCACUAGAAUCAUUAAAACCAGUUGGAUUUCUAUAUGUAAGACCCAAAGUAAUUCAGUUUGGUUUUCUGACAAGUAAUUAUUUUUUCUAAAUAGCACUGAUAGUAAUGUCAUUGUAAAUGGGAUAAAAAGGUUAUUAGGGAAAGAUUAUAUAUGCUUGUUUAAAUUCCUAGAUCGGAUCUUUGUAAUGUCAGGAAAAUCAUCCAAGUUUGUUAGAAUGAAAUCCAGGUGAAAUGUUCUAUUAUUUCUCUGAAGUUUUGGAGAAACAGAUACUAAGAUGAUAAUUUCAAUUCCCCGCGGGAAUGAAGAAAACCUGGACAAGAUGUUGGUUUUAAUAAUGGUAUUUCAAGCUGUUCCUAAGCUUAAUUGUGGUAUGGGGUAACACUGUAGUCAUGGAGUGGUGUAUUUAAAACCCACCAAGAGGUUUCAGCCUGAGAGCGGAACCAACGAAAGGGAAUCAUUAACCACAGAAGUGACUGAAGUGGUUUAAUAAUUAUGUUAUUUCAAGGGGGAAAAAAAAAAAGAUCUGCCUCAAGUAUAAAGGGGAAAAGAAGGCCUGAUAAAUAGAACUUAUUUCUACCCUAGGUAGUCAGCUAGUGAGACUACCAGUGGGAAAGGUCUAUUAACUAAUUGAUCUGCUAGACUCGAUAGGGAACUCCAGCUGGAGAUCAAAGAACAUUCUCUGCUACAAAGGCAAGCGGCAACCUUGGACCAGAUGUUUUCCUUCCAGCUCUGUCAUGCUUGAUAACUGUAGAGUGUGGCUGAAUCUGGCCAUAGGCCUCGUCCAUCCGACCACUGAUAUGGAAAGCAAGGGGAUGUGUGUGCACGCACACGCGUGAAAAAGAGGCAAGAGAGCUUCGAAGUCAAAAAGGUUCCGAAUUUAAGAUUAGGUUGGGAGCUAAGCAAUUUUUUUCCCAACUUAUUUGCAAAGUGAAGCGGACCAAAGAAUGCCACUGUCAACUUUUAAAAAGGUUCCUAUAUCUUAAUUGUCCUAUAAUUGCUCUUUAUAAUAGCUUAUACUAAUGUAUUAUAGUACAUGUCUGUUACAAUAAAACCAAGUAUGUUUUGAAUAAUGGCUGAAAUUACAAAGAUUCAACUAUUAGUGUUAGCUUAUGUGCUUUCUUUUAUGUUUAGAGUAAAAGUGAGAGUUAAUAAUUGAAGUGUUUUUUCUUUUGGCCAUUACCCCGGAACUGUUUGUUUACAUGUGUUGCCCACCUUUAUCCUUUCCAGCUCUAUAUGUUCUGCUUCUGUUUUUUUCACAUCUGGAGAAGGUAUUAUUUAUGAUCAGGCAGGAUAUUUGGCUUAGAAGUUUCUUUGAAAUGUAUGUAUGUAUAAUUCUUUUCAAUGCAUUUUUCAAAGAUUCCUACAGUAUUAGAUGGUUUGAAAAAUGAGAUGUCUAAAAUUACCUUGAUGUGGUUAGCUUGGUAUGGUCUAUGGCCUUUCUUAAAAUACUACCUUGCUUCCCUAGUUGAUCAAAAAUAUCACCAAAAAGUCAUUAGUUCACCUGAGUGGGAGACGUAUUGGGGUUUAGGAAUGCUCGUAUUGAGAAUUCACUGAUCUCAGGCGAUCGAAUUCCCCAUAAAAGGAAGAUUUCCAUAGAAUGUUUGCAUGUCUGUACUUUCAAGGUGCCUAAAAUUCUAAAGUAGUAGCUUCAUUUUUUUUUAAGCCAAAGGCUUUUGUUUCUCUUAAAAUUCAACUUCUAAGCUUCUCCAUUCUCUUCGUGUGUGUGCAUAUAAAAAAAUAUUUAUUGAAUGAUAUAUUUAUCAUACAAUUUCCUGAAAAUCUAAUUUGAUGGGGUGAAGGAGGGAAAGGUAAAGACUCCUCCCCCAAAGACACAUUCUAUAUACUUUAAACUUUGCCGAGUGUCCAGUUCAAGAUGGCACACUGAUGGCAUAUCAACCUUCACCCUUUCUCAAGGUCCCGUUGAAACUAUUAAAUGUCCAAUGUGCGUCCAUGUAAAAAUCUAUCUAAUGAAAGCACAGCAAUGCUGGGCAUCAAUAAAGGAACCACAGAGGGUGAAUACAAGCUAGUUGUUAGAGAGCAGAUGGACUUAUAUGAAAAGCAAACAAAAAUAAAAGCAGAGAAGGGGAUUCCAGAGAUAAGGGACCACUGGAGAAGCUCCAAGCUUGGGGUUGUCAAACAUAAAGGAUAAGAGUGGGUGGCAGAUUAUACUUAUUGGAGUGUUGAUUUAAAGUUCUGAAUUCAGAUCCUUGAGAUCCCUUUCUUCAACUACAGCUGGUCUUCUCUCUCUACUCUUCAAUGUCAAAACAGACAUGGGCAAACUGUAUCACCUGGAUAGAACCAAAGAACUUUUAAAGACUGAAGAGUAAGGCAACGUGGAUCCUGAGCCUAAAGAAAAGAGCUGGAGGUAACCCCAGGCUUCCAUAGCAAAUGCUGAGAUCCAGUCUACUCUAUGGAGUCAUCAGAGGGGAUGAGCUGGACAAGAAUUUUCCUCAUCUUUUCCUCUCAAGGCAUAAAGGCUGAGACAGAUCUCGUUUGCAGCCAGAAAGGGAGCAAUGUGUGGGGAAACUUGGCUUGGAUCUUGGAUCUUGAAGAGGGCAACUAUUCAUCACUUGGGCUGUGGUUACAGAAGACUUUUCCUGAGGGUCGACAAGGGGACAGUGAACUCUAAAAUCUAAGUCAGCAAGAGUCAAGAUUUGAAACACUCCGACCCUUUUCUAUUUUGAAUUUUCGGAGAUGAUUUUCUUCCUCUGGCGAAGCCCUUUGGGAAUACUGUUCAAAGAGGCAGCUCAGUUAGGGCAGAACCCAAACUCUGGGGUGUGCUCUUUGGCAGGGGGAGUUGACUAGGGAUUGUGACUAACCCUUAGCGGCUUCAACUAGGAAUCGAGAGCCCGCCCCAAGAAAACAGUUCUAGGACUUUCUACGAGGACAUGGAGGCCACUGGGUGCAGGCAUCACUCGGCUCACUUGUGGUUUCUGCUGCUCAAUGCUUCUCUAGUUCAAGGAAGGGGCUUCGUGCGGUGAUGGCGAUGGGCUGAAACUUUGAGGUGACUUUUUUUGAGCAUCUCACCGAUAGGUCCCAAAGAUGCUUCUUUAUGAUUGAAGUAAAAACAAGACAGAACCAAG